This 500-nucleotide ribosomal RNA is filed under the name uncultured Glomeromycotina. Its description in RNAcentral is "partial small subunit ribosomal RNA". It matches the Rfam family "Eukaryotic small subunit ribosomal RNA", at positions 591 to 1092 of the family's 1831-position model. Lineage: Eukaryota; Fungi; Glomeromycota. The record is from RNAcentral.
CCAAUAGCGUAUAUUAAAGUUGUUGCAGUUAAAAAGCUCGUAGUUGAAUUUCGGGGUUAGUAGGUUGGUCAUGCCUCUGGUAUGUACUGGUCUCACUGAUUCCUCCUUCCUGAUGAACCUUAAUGCCAUUAAUUUGGUGUUUUGGGGAAUUUGGACUGUUACUUUGAAAAAAUUAGAGUGUUUAAAGCAAGCUAACGCUUGAAUACAUUAGCAUGGAAUAAUGAAAUAGGACGUUCGAUCCUAUUUUGUUGGUUUCUAGGAUUGACGUAAUGAUUAAUAGGGAUAGUUGGGGGCAUUAGUAUUCAAUUGUCAGAGGUGAAAUUCUUGGAUUUAUUGAAGACUAACUACUGCGAAAGCAUUUGCCAAGUAUGUUUUCAUUAAUCAAGAACGAAAGUUAGGGGAUCGAAGACGAUCAGAUACCGUCGUAGUCUUAACCAUAAACUAUGCCGACUAGGGAUCGGAUGAUGUUAAUUUUUUAAUGACUCAUUCGGCGCCUUACG